This is a non-coding RNA of Dryococelus australis, 72 nucleotides long. NCBI's taxonomy places the organism in Eukaryota, Metazoa, Arthropoda, Insecta, Phasmatodea, Phasmatidae. The record is from the annotation of a GenBank genome assembly.
GUAAUGAUAGCUCAGUGUUUAGAGUACUGGACUGUCAUUUAGAAGAUCCAGGGUUCGAAUCCCAUUUUCAUA